This 470-nucleotide ribosomal RNA is filed under the name uncultured bacterium. Its description in RNAcentral is "partial 16S ribosomal RNA". It matches the Rfam family "Bacterial small subunit ribosomal RNA", at positions 28 to 507 of the family's 1533-position model. The record is from RNAcentral.
GACGAACGCUGGCGGCGUGCUUAACACAUGCAAGUCGAACGGUGAACGAGGGAGCUUGCUCCCUCCGGAUCAGUGGCGAACGGGUGAGUAACACGUGAGCAAUCUGCCCCGAACUCUGGGAUAAGCGUUGGAAACGACGUCUAAUACCGGAUACGACGCGGGAGGGCAUCCUCUCCGCGUGGAAAGAACUUCGGUUCGGGAUGAGCUCGCGGCCUAUCAGCUUGUUGGUGAGGUAACGGCUCACCAAGGCGACGACGGGUAGCCGGCCUGGGAGGGUGACCGGCCAAACGGGGACUGGGACACGGCCCAGACUCCUACGGGAGGCAGCAGUGGAGAAUGUUGCACAAUGGGCGCAAGCCUGAUGCAGAAACGCCGCGUGAGGGACGACGGCCUUCGGGUUGUAAACCUCUUUUAGCAGAGAAGAAGCGAAAGUGACGGUACCUGCAGAAAAAGCACCGGCUAACUACGUG